UGGCGCUUAGUUUAAUGGAAAAACACUUCGUUUACACCGAAUAAUCAGCAGAUCAAUACUGCUAGUGCCUA
RNAcentral lists this transfer RNA (71 nucleotides) under bacterium. Its description in RNAcentral is "tRNA-Val". It matches the Rfam family "tRNA". Rfam says of the family: Transfer RNA (tRNA) molecules are approximately 80 nucleotides in length. Their secondary structure includes four short double-helical elements and three loops (D, anti-codon, and T loops). The record is from RNAcentral.